RNAcentral lists this ribosomal RNA (1077 nucleotides) under uncultured bacterium. Its description in RNAcentral is "bacterial SSU rRNA". It matches the Rfam family "Bacterial small subunit ribosomal RNA", at positions 55 to 1099 of the family's 1533-position model. The record is from RNAcentral.
CUGCAGUCGAGCGCUGAUUACGGGGUAGCAAUAUUCCGUAGUUGGAGCGGCGCAAGGGUGCGUAACACGUGGGUAAUCUGCCAUGAAGUUUGGGAUAACUUGCUGAAAGGCGAGCUAAUACCGGAUGUGAAAGUUGGGAGGCAUCUUCUGAUUUUCAAAGCUGGGGACCGUAAGGCCUGGCGCUUCAUGAUGAGCCCGCGGCCUAUCAGCUAGUUGGUAAGGUAACGGCUUACCAAGGCUAAGACGGGUAGCUGGUCUGAGAGGACGACCAGCCACACUGGAACUGAGACACGGUCCAGACACCUACGGGUGGCAGCAGUCGAGAAUUUUUCACAAUGGGCGCAAGCCUGAUGGAGCGACGCCGCGUGGGGGAUGAAUGGCUUCGGCCCGUAAACCCCUGUCAUUUGCGAUCAACCGUUGUUGUUUAAGAGAUGACAACCUGAUAGUAGCGAAAGAGGAAGGGACGGCUAACUCUGUGCCAGCAGCCGCGGUAAUACAGAGGUCCCAAGCGUUGUUCGGAUUCACUGGGCGUAAAGGGUGCGUAGGUGGCGGAGUAAGUCGGAUGUGAAAUCUCCGAGCUCAACUCGGAAAUGGCAUUGGAAACUGCUCUGCUCGAGGGUUGGAGGGGGGACUGGAAUACUUGGUGUAGCAGUGAAAUGCGUAGAUAUCAAGUGGAACACCAGUGGCGAAGGCGAGUCCCUGGACAACUCCUGACACUGAGGCACGAAAGCUAGGGGAGCAAACAGGAUUAGAUACCCUGGUAGUCCUAGCCGUAAACGGUGCAUGUUUGCUGUAAAAGGAAUCGACCCCUUUUGUGGCGUAGCCAACGCGUUAAACAUGCCGCCUGGGAAGUACGGUCGCAAGAUUAAAACUCAAAGAAAUUGACGGGGGCCUGCACAAGCGGUGGAGUAUGUGGCUCAAUUCGAUGCAACGCGAAGAACCUUACCUGGCCUUGACAUGUAUGUAGUAGAACGGUGAAAGCCUGACGAGGUAGCCAUACCAGCAUACACAGGGUGCUGCAUGGCUGUCGUCAGCUCGUGUCGUGAAGAUGUUGGUUAAGUCCCCGCAAACGAGCGC